This 239-nucleotide ribosomal RNA is filed under the name uncultured bacterium. RNAcentral describes it as "partial 16S ribosomal RNA". It matches the Rfam family "Bacterial small subunit ribosomal RNA", at positions 538 to 776 of the family's 1533-position model. The record is from RNAcentral.
ACGUUGCUCGGAAUCAUUGGGCGUAACGCGCACGUAGGCGGCCAACUAAGUCGGAUGUGAAAUCCCCAGGCUUAACCUGGGAACUGCAUCCGAUACUGGAUGGCUUGAAUCCGGGAGAGGGAUGCGGAAUUCCAGGUGUAGCGGUGAAAUGCGUAGAUAUCUGGAGGAACACCGGUGGCGAAGGCGGCAUCCUGGACCGGCAUUGACGCUGAGGAGCGAAAGCCAGGGGAGCAAACGGG